This 284-nucleotide ribosomal RNA is filed under the name uncultured bacterium. RNAcentral's name for it is "partial 16S ribosomal RNA". It matches the Rfam family "Bacterial small subunit ribosomal RNA", at positions 510 to 793 of the family's 1533-position model. The record is from RNAcentral.
AGCAGCCGCGGUAAUACGGAGGAUCCAAGCGUUAUCCGGAAUCAUUGGGUUUAAAGGGUCCGUAGGUGGAUAAUUAAGUCAGAGGUGAAAUCCUGCAGCUCAACUGUAGAAUUGCCUUUGAUACUGGUUAUCUUGAGUCAUUAUGAAGUGGUUAGAAUAUGUAGUGUAGCGGUGAAAUGCAUAGAUAUUACAUAGAAUACCAAUUGCGAAGGCAGAUCACUAAUAAUGUACUGACACUGAUGGACGAAAGCGUGGGGAGCGAACAGGAUUAGAUACCCUGGUAG